UUGUACACACCGCCCGUCACACCAUGGGAGUGGGUUGCAAAAGAAGUAGGUAGCUUAACCUUCGGGAGGGCGCUUACCACUUUGUGAUUCAUGACUGGGGUGAAGUCGUAACAAGGUAACCGUAGGGGAACCUGCGGUUGGAUCACCUCCUUACCUAAAGAUAUCCUGACUGUGCAGUGUCCACACAGAUUGUCUGAUGAAAAGAACGAGCAAAGCGUCUGCGGAGCCGACAUAUACCGUGUCCCCUUCGUCUAGAGGCCUAGGACACCGCCCUUUCACGGCGGUAACAGGGGUUCGAAUCCCCUAGGGGACGCCAUUUGCUGAUGUCGGGUGAAAGACGGUAUCAAACGAUAUCUCAAAACUGGCUUGCGAGUCAUGUUUGAGAUAUUUGCUCUUUAACAAUCUGGAACAAGCUGGAAAUUGAAACAUGGCAGCUGAAACUUGUCCCCCGUAGAAGUCCGGGAUGAGGAGUAACCUGUCAUAGAGUCUCUCAAAUGUAGCAAUGCGACGAUGUCGGAAGACACCUUCGGGUUGUGAGGUUAAGUGACUAAGCGUACACGGUGGAUGCCUAGGCAGUCAGAGGCGAUGAAGGGCGUGCUAAUCUGCGAAAAGCGUCGGUAAGGUGAUAUGAACCGUUGCACCCGACGAUACCCGAAUGGGGAAACCCAGUGUGUUUCGACACACUAUCGUUAAGUGAAUACAUAGCUUAACGAGGCGAACCGGGGGAACUGAAACAUCUAAGUACC
Molecule: unclassified non-coding RNA, 746 nt
Filed under: Serratia odorifera
Lineage: Bacteria; Pseudomonadati; Pseudomonadota; Gammaproteobacteria; Enterobacterales; Yersiniaceae
Description: partial contains 16S ribosomal RNA, 16S-23S ribosomal RNA intergenic spacer, and 23S ribosomal RNA
Rfam family: Bacterial large subunit ribosomal RNA (bases 538-746)
Source: RNAcentral